Peromyscus californicus insignis is the source of this 1082-nucleotide long non-coding RNA. RefSeq lists it as uncharacterized. Lineage: Eukaryota; Metazoa; Chordata; Mammalia; Rodentia; Cricetidae. The record is from RefSeq and is a predicted model, not a curated record. The transcript is spliced from 5 exons.
UACGUAGACAGCAAGCUCCCGCGGCCUCGUUUUAACGCGGUUGUUCCAAAGGGGAGGGGAGAAGACGUGAGCUCGGGGAGAAGAAAGUGCCACCGCUCCGGUGGGGGGGAGGGGCGAGAGACCCAGAAGGUUCGAUUUACGGUUUCCACCCCCCCUGUUCAGUCAUCUGGCCAAGGGCUCAGGGGGAGCGCGUGCCUUCCGUGGGGACCAGCACAUUCUCUAAGAGCCCAGGGUGUUUUCCCCAGCUCCCAAGCAGCUGCCUCCCCCAUUACACCUUGAGCAGAGUCCAGUGACCUGCUCCGGAGGUGACAAAGGCCACCCGCCCCGAUAAUCCAGCCUCCGAGGCAUCCAAAAUGCACACGCGCUUGGCCGUAUCCUAACUUGUUCGCUCAUGUCCAUCUCUGCCUUGGAGCUUUUUUGGCAAGAAGGUAUGAGGGAGAUGGACGGAGGAUAGACUCUACCUCACACGAUGAAAGAGAAAUUAUUCAUGCUACAGCUCUCAUGGUUCAGCACCCUCUCCCUGAAAUUCUGAGGAACACGAAACAAGCUGCAGACAUCCUCUGGAGAAUGAACACUGCCCUCUGUUCAGUGUUCCCUGCGUGACUCUCCUCUGCCUGGUGUUGAGGUAAAGGAACAGGCUGGAGGUGAUUCUGGAUCCCUCUGCCAUGUGGAGGAUAAGGCUGGCAGCUCUCACCUCUGCAAAUGAGAAUGAUGUUCUCUGGAGGUUUCCUGAAAAGGCUGACCGGAAGAAGAAACAAGUUUGUGGGCAAGAGUUCUGUGUGGAGCUCUCCUGCUGAACUCAGCCGGGUGGCCAGAGACUGGAAAAAUGGGGAGGGCUUGAUGAGUGACUGGCUUAGAACACUGUGUCCCUUGCCUCAGCUCAAUGGCUCCAAACUUUAACCACAGGUGUGCAAAUCUGAUUGUAAAUCAUAAAUUUUGGAACAUAUCCCUCUGAAGAAUAUGCAAACUUUGAGUUUCACUUAUUCUCCGUUGAAGUUCCUGUUCAGAAUGCUGAUUAAUCGGAUACUCUGUUUUUUGCCGACUUUCCCUGGAGAAUAUGAAUUAAUAGACAAUAAAUUUAA